CAGGUGUCCGCCAGACGGCGCCAAAGCGCCGGCAGAGCUGCUCUGGCUCUGCCUGGCUGCAACUCCAGGCUCAGAAUGGGCCUGGAGCAGGAUGGAAGGAAACGCAAGGAGGGCCCAGACAGAGCCUUGUGUUGGUACCGGGUACCUGUGACGUGUGGCCGUUUUGUGUCAACAUGCAGUCUGUGCCCCAGCAACUGGAGCGCUGGACGGGCCGUCGAGGGCCUGCGUGCCCUUUGCUCCUUGGGGGCACGGCGCUGGGACCCAGGAGGACCCGGCUUGAGUCCUGGACAUGCGGAUUUCUAGAGUCAGGCAGGGGAGGCAUCCGGCCUCUGGAAGGCUGGGCUUCAGGUAGUGAAGGCGGUGUGUCACUGCGGUGGUAUCUGGGGAGGCGUGCCGAGCCUCUCCGUGUGCGCGUCCCCUCCAGAAAUCUCCACAUCCCCCUGCUUCUCUCUCCACCAGAGCCGCCUCUCCCUCUGCCGACUGCCUGCCUGCCUGCCUGCCUGCCUGCCUGUGCCAAGAAGCCUACCCGAAUCGAGGGAAAGAGAGAACGAUGCCCGGGAGCGCCUUAACUUCACGCCGGGCGCAAGGGCGGAAGGGGGCCGAUUGGUUGACAGCCGGCUGCCUUGCCUUAAGAAGCAGGGCGUCUGAUGUCAAGCCGCCUCUCCCUCUGCCGACUGCCUGCCUGCCUGCCUGCCUGCCUGCCUGUGCCAAGAAGCCUACCCGAAUCGAGGGAAGAGAGAACGAUGCCCGGGAGCGCCUUAACUUCACGCCGGGCGCAAGGGCGGAAGGGGGCCGAUUGGUUGACAGCCGGCUGCCUUGCCUUAAGGAGCAGGGCGUCUGAUGUCAAGCCGCCUCUCCCUCUGCCGACUGCCUGCCUGCCUGCCUGCCUGCCUGCCUGCCUGCCUGUGCCAAGAAGCCUACCCGAAUCGAGGGAAGAGAGAACGGUGCCCGGGAGCGCCUUAACUUCACGCCGGGCGCAAGGGCGGAAGGGGGCCGAUUGGUUGACAGCCGGCUGCCUUGCCUUAAGGAGCAGGGCGUCUGAUGUCAGUGAGUGGGGCGGUUUCGUUGGGGGCGAGAGGCCUGGCCGACCUUGCGAGGGUCUUCCUCAACAUAAUAAAGGCUAUAUGUGA
RNAcentral lists this long non-coding RNA (1130 nucleotides) under Sus scrofa (pig). Its description in RNAcentral is "lncRNA (ENSSSCG00070024078.1)". The record is from RNAcentral. Lineage: Eukaryota; Metazoa; Chordata; Mammalia; Artiodactyla; Suidae.